GAUGAACGCUGGCGGCGUGCCUAAUACAUGCAAGUCGAGCGAACGGACGAGAAGCUUGCUUCUCUGAUGUUAGCGGCGGACGGGUGAGUAACACGUGGAUAACCUACCUAUAAGACUGGGAUAACUUCGGGAAACCGGAGCUAAUACCGGAUAAUAUUUUGAACCGCAUGGUUCAAAAGUGAAAGACGGUCUUGCUGUCACUUAUAGAUGGAUCCGCGCUGCAUUAGCUAGUUGGUAAGGUAACGGCUUACCAAGGCAACGAUGCAUAGCCGACCUGAGAGGGUGAUCGGCCACACUGGAACUGAGACACGGUCCAGACUCCUACGGGAGGCAGCAGUAGGGAAUCUUCCGCAAUGGGCGAAAGCCUGACGGAGCAACGCCGCGUGAGUGAUGAAGGUCUUCGGAUCGUAAAACUCUGUUAUUAGGGAAGAACAUAUGUGUAAGUAACUGUGCACAUCUUGACGGUACCUAAUCAGAAAGCCACGGCUAACUACGUGCCAGCAGCCGCGGUAAUACGUAGGUGGCAAGCGUUAUCCGGAAUUAUUGGGCGUAAAGCGCGCGUAGGCGGUUUUUUAAGUCUGAUGUGAAAGCCCACGGCUCACCGUGGAGGGUCAUUGGAAACUGGAAAACUUGAGUGCAGAAGAGGAAAGUGGAAUUCCGUGUGUAGCGGUGAAAUGCGCAGAGAUAUGGAGGAACACCAGUGGCGAAGGCGACUUUCUGGUCUGUAACUGACGCUGAUGUGCGAAAGCGUGGGGAUCAAACAGGAUUAGAUACCCUGGUAGUCCACGCCGUAAACGAUGAGUGCUAAGUGUUAGGGGGUUUCCGCCCCUUAGUGCUGCAGCUAACGCAUUAAGCACUCCGCCUGGGGAGUACGACCGCAAGGUUGAAACUCAAAGGAAUUGACGGGGACCCGCACAAGCGGUGGAGCAUGUGGUUUAAUUCGAAGCAACGCGAAGAACCUUACCAAAUCUUGACAUCCUUUGACAACUCUAGAGAUAGAGCCUUCCCCUUCGGGGGACAAAGUGACAGGUGGUGCAUGGUUGUCGUCAGCUCGUGUCGUGAGAUGUUGGGUUAAGUCCCGCAACGAGCGCAACCCUUAAGCUUAGUUGCCAUCAUUAAGUUGGGCACUCUAAGUUGACUGCCGGUGACAAACCGGAGGAAGGUGGGGAUGACGUCAAAUCAUCAUGCCCCUUAUGAUUUGGGCUACACACGUGCUACAAUGGACAAUACAAAGGGCAGCGAAACCGCGAGGUCAAGCAAAUCCCAUAAAGUUGUUCUCAGUUCGGAUUGUAGUCUGCAACUCGACUACAUGAAGCUGGAAUCGCUAGUAAUCGUAGAUCAGCAUGCUACGGUGAAUACGUUCCCGGGUCU
RNAcentral lists this ribosomal RNA (1371 nucleotides) under uncultured bacterium. RNAcentral describes it as "bacterial SSU rRNA". It matches the Rfam family "Bacterial small subunit ribosomal RNA", at positions 28 to 1381 of the family's 1533-position model. The record is from RNAcentral.